Molecule: long non-coding RNA, 1311 nt
Organism: Bombina bombina (fire-bellied toad)
Lineage: Eukaryota; Metazoa; Chordata; Amphibia; Anura; Bombinatoridae
Exons: 11
Source: RefSeq, a predicted model, not a curated record
GGUUGCUUCUGGAAGGCUGAAAUUGCGCCAAAAAAAUUGUGAGAUGUUUGUGUGUUUACCAGCUGGCUUGUUUGGAAUAUCUGUCCAGCUCAAAAAUGGCUCCAGCGGUUAGAAACCGGUGUUGGAUGGCAGAAUGGUUUUAUGGAAACUUCAAGCAUAUGACAGCUUCAUUUUCUUCCACAAGGCUGUGAGACCAGGUUGCAGGUGAUGCUAAAGUUAUCAGAUCUACAGCACCAGGUGACAUACAGCCAACACUUACAGUGUCUACUUCAUUGUCAAAAGAAAUGUCUGUGUCUCCUUUGUUAAACCAGCUGGCUUGUUUGGAAUAUCUGUCCAGUUCAAAAAUGGCUCCAGCGGUUAGAAAACGGUGUUGGAUGGCAGAAUGGUUUUAUGGAAACUUCAAGCAUAUGACAGCUUAAUUUUCUUCCACAAGGCUGUGAGACCAGGUUGCAGGUGAUGCUAAAGUUAUCAGAUCUACAGCACCAGGUGACAUACAGCCAACACUUACAGUGUCUACUUCAUUGUCAAAAGAAAUGUCUGUGUCUCCUUUGUUAAACCAGAUGCAGCAAUGUGAAGCGAGAGGCCAUAAUAUACAGAGGUCUUCACUUCAACUGCGUCUGCUGACAUCCAGGCUGCAAGUUGGUUAUCCGGUCAAGCUGCUGUUUGCUGCAUGAGGACACCUCUGCUGCACAAGAUCUGCUACGUCAUUCUGCUGCACAAGAUGAGACUUCGCUGGGACACCAUUCAAGUAUGACAAGGAUUCAACCAGAUUCAUCCGUCCUCAGACGUGUUCAGAACGCUACGUUGAGAUAUAUACUUGGUUUUAUAUAAAGAUCUUCAAGCACUGGACAAAAUGUCUACAUGAAACAUUUCUCCGUUACAUCAGCCCAGCAUAUGUGACCGUGUAUGGAGAGAUGCUCACUUCACCUCUUGUUUACGCAGAAGAAAUGCUUCCACGCUGUCGCUAGAUGAUUCUCACUCAUUACAAUGGCACCAUGAUGACUGUUUACAGAUUACAGAGAACCUAAUCGAACGCCUUUCUGCAACUAUUGAAUAAUUGGAACACAACUUGUGACUUUAGCCCAGUGACAUUAAGCUAGGUUCUGUCAUAGCUGUCUCUUUAAAGAUGAACAAUUAAACUUAUAUACACACACGAUGUGCACAGGGAAAAAAAGGUGAUUAUGGCAGAAGUGCAGCAUUUUUCUUCGACUACCUUGAACGAUAAACAUGGAUGUAAUUUGGAUUUAUGACCUCUGUCUGCUAUUUUAAGUGUUGUGUUGCUGUGUGUCAAUAAAGCUUUGACUUCUCUUA